AAUAUUGGACAAUUGGGGCAACCCUGAUCCAGCCACGCCCCGUGUGUGAAGAAGGUCUUCGGAUUGUAAAGCACUUUAAGUUGGGGGGAAGGGCGUUAGGGUAAUACCCUGAAGUUUUGACGUUACCAACAGAAUAAGCACCGGUUAUCUCUGUGCCAUAAGCCGCGUUAAUACGAAGGGUGCAAGCGUUAAUCGGAAUUACGGGCCGUAAAGCGCGCGUAGGUGGUUCAGUAAGAUGGGUGUGAAAUCCCCAGGCUUAACCUGGGAACUGCUUUCAUAACUGCUGAGCUAGAGUACGGUAGAGGGUAGUGGAAUUUCCUGUGUAGCGGUGAAAUGCGUAGAUAUAGGAAGGAACACCAGUGGCGAAGGCGACUACCUGGACUGAUACUGACACUGAGGUGCGAAAGCGUGGGGAGCAAACAG
RNAcentral lists this ribosomal RNA (423 nucleotides) under uncultured bacterium. RNAcentral describes it as "partial 16S ribosomal RNA". It matches the Rfam family "Bacterial small subunit ribosomal RNA", at positions 360 to 775 of the family's 1533-position model. The record is from RNAcentral.